GAAAAGUUCUCAAUGUCCAGCUUGAUUUGUCUUCAGUAUUUUCUUGUGAUUGUUGCUUUUGCUGAGCAGCUAGUGUGGACUGGGAAGCAUUAAAAGGCAUAGCUCAUUGCUCUCUAAUGGUAGGGAAGGCAAGAAGCAGGGUUGAUGAACUCAGUAUUUUGCUGGGCAACACGAGUGAUCUUUAUGAUCAAAGCAGACACGUAUUUGUCAGUAUUUAUUUGACUGUUCCAGAGAAGUCAGAUAAGCCCUCUGUAACCCUUUUUCCUGGAGCUCUGUGCCAAAAUGACCCACAAUCACAAACAAAUGCAAAAAUGAAAAAUCUUUGGGGAUCAAGUCUAAGCAAGCGAUGAGGGAGACAUCCCUCCAGAAAACUCCUGAAUUAGUGCUUCCUACUCUAGUUCUUCUUCUCUAGGGAAAACUCCUCCUGAAGUGUGAAUUUUCACCUGGACAAACUACCCAAAGACUACUCGAACUCCAUGUCUUGAGCUCCUGUCAGUCAUCACCGGAAGAAGUGCUGUAAUCCAAGACAAAUGUGUGGCAGGUAAUUCCCGGUAAGUUGUUGAACUGUCAUUAAAUAGUACAUAAGCUAUUCAGUCAUUCAGUAUUCACAGAGCAAUAGAAAGAGUGGCUGUGACCUUGUAAAUUAGUGAGGGUGCAUCUGUCUGAUCAGAGGGCUUGAGUUCUGGUCCUCUUCAAGUUAGCAUGAAAACAUUUCACAGAGGACUAAACAGCUGCAAGAGAAGAUCCCAACAAUCAGAUUCCCAAAUAUUUUGGGCAAUAAUCUUGUGUAUCAGCAAGAGGGUCUGACUCUAGGUGUCCACUGUGCUAGCUCAGGGUUCUAAUUACAGGCUGCUACUUGGACUGACAUGAUGUCUGCUGCUGAAGUGAAUUGUUCUAUGAUUGUGCCUGUGCCAGUCUGGGAACAGCAUAAAGGCAGAAAAGCAUCUGCUUCUGACACCAGGACUCCUGAGCGCAGUGAAUCUGUGUUGCCAUGCAGGAGUCAAAAGGGGUUAACGACAAACCUUUUAUCACCAAUGAGUAAAGAAAUUCCUCAAAAUCUAAGCCUUGCUCUCUGCAAUUCUUCUCAUCUGUGUUUCUUCCUGUUAUACUCAAAGGUCUGCAAGAGAGACUAUGGGGUCAUUGAACACAUCUGGACAGAUUGCUGAUGUGCAGAAACCUGCAUGGAGAAGAGAGUAGGACAGCUGUAAGAGAAAUCUGUGUUCCUGAGCACUCCUGAAGCUGCUCUUUGAGAGAAAUGUAGACUUACUCAUAGACUUGAGGCCCAGAAUAUAUCAGAGGAACAUUUAGUCCGAAAUGAUGUCUCAUAGAGUAAUGUAUUCCACUAUAAACCGUUUUCUCUAACCUUCAUAUUAUUCUUCUCUUCUUCACCUUUUAAAGCCCUCUUUUUCACCUUUUAAAACUCUCUUUUAUUCUGCACACCUGAUUAACUCAGCAUAAUUCUGGUAUCAGUCACAUCAAUGUUUUCAUAGUAUUAGUUAGCUGUCUGUCUUUUCUUUCUGUCCAAAUACGGUUCAUAUUACCUGACUAUGGACAUAUGCAAUGAAGGGAUAUGUAUCUGGGCUAAUACUCUGGACUUCUUUUACAGUCACUGGGAAGAGAUAGAGAACAGUUUAAUUGCUUCAGCUUUCUUUUAGCAUCACAUUUACUCUAACUUUGAGUAACAAGGAAUUGCAUCCCUUCUGGACUUGCACAAAAUCAGAAAUCUUCCACUAUUUCAGGUCAGAGUAUGAGGAAAAUCACAUUAUCUGAAGUAUAGGAAAUGUACAAUAAAAUACUAAGAUGUUUUGCCA
Anser cygnoides (Swan goose) is the source of this 1811-nucleotide long non-coding RNA. Lineage: Eukaryota; Metazoa; Chordata; Aves; Anseriformes; Anatidae. The record is from Ensembl.